Molecule: ribosomal RNA, 292 nt
Filed under: uncultured bacterium
Lineage: Bacteria
Description: partial 16S ribosomal RNA
Rfam family: Bacterial small subunit ribosomal RNA
Source: RNAcentral
UGGCUCCUACGGGGGGUAGCAGUGGGGAAUAUUGCACAAUGGGGGAAACCCUGAUGCAGCGACGCCGCGUGAAGGACGAAGUAUUUCGGUACGUAAACUUCUAUCAGCAGGGAAGAAAAUGACGGUACCUGACCAAGAAGCCCCGGCUAACUACGUGCCAGCAGCCGCGGUAAUACGGAGGAUGCGAGCGUUAUCCGGAUUUAUUGGGUUUAAAGGGUGCGCAGGCGGACCAUCAAGUCAGCGGUAAAAUCGUGGGGCCCAACCCCAUCCCGCCGUUGAAACUGGCGGUCUU